GCCGGCUUAGCUCAGCUGGUAGAGCAGCGGUUUUGUAAACCGAAGGUCGCGGGUUCGAUUCCUGCAGCCGGCACCA
This 76-nucleotide transfer RNA is filed under the name Sphingomicrobium lutaoense. Its description in RNAcentral is "tRNA-Thr". It matches the Rfam family "tRNA". Rfam says of the family: Transfer RNA (tRNA) molecules are approximately 80 nucleotides in length. Their secondary structure includes four short double-helical elements and three loops (D, anti-codon, and T loops). Further hydrogen bonds mediate the characteristic L-shaped molecular structure. tRNAs have two regions of fundamental functional importance: the anti-codon, which is responsible for specific mRNA codon recognition, and the 3' end, to which the tRNAs corresponding amino acid is attached (by aminoacyl-tRNA synthetases). tRNAs cope with the degeneracy of the genetic code in two manners: having more than one tRNA (with a specific anti-codon) for a particular amino acid; and 'wobble' base-pairing, i.e. permitting non-standard base-pairing at the 3rd anti-codon position. Lineage: Bacteria; Pseudomonadati; Pseudomonadota; Alphaproteobacteria; Sphingomonadales; Sphingomicrobiaceae. The record is from RNAcentral.